This is an RNA transcript of Pezoporus flaviventris, 1409 nucleotides long. It is a transcript of the gene named latexin, with no coding region annotated. NCBI's taxonomy places the organism in Eukaryota, Metazoa, Chordata, Aves, Psittaciformes, Psittacidae. The record is from RefSeq and is a predicted model, not a curated record. The transcript is spliced from 7 exons.
CCGGCGGGGCGGCCCCGCUCCGCCCCGGUCGCUUCCUGCGGGAGGAGGAAGCGGUUCCCCUUCGCCAUGGAGCUGCCGCCGAGCCACUACUCCGCCACCCGGGCGGCGGCGCUGGCCGCCUGCUACCUCAGCUACCGGCGCGGGAGCCCCGGGCGCGGCCUGGCGCUGCGGGCCGUUCGCAGCGGCCGCAGGCAGGACAUUGAUGGUGUUGGGCGUAAGUACUAUCUGGAAUUGGUGUUAGAAGAUGUCCUUGACAAAGACAGUACUGUUAACUGCACAGCUGAGGUUCUUCAUCAUAUGGGCAACAAAAACAUUGCUCCAGAUGUGCAAUUCACAAUUGAAGGAGAACUUAAGAACACAGAUGAAGCAGAUAACAUAUUCUACAAUCGAAUCAAGAGCCUGGAAAAAGAGCUUGUGGCAGAAAACAUACCAGACAACCACGGCAACACAUCCCCAGAAAUGGAGCCCAUCCGGCUGCUAGCAUGGGUUGCCUCUGGCUAUGUGAUAUGGCAGAACUCGACUGAGAACACUAAGUUCCAACUUGCCCAAAUUAAACAUGUGAAGCAAGUGAAAAGAAGUGAUGAGUAUCUUGAAUUUGACUACAUGAUUCUACUUCACGAAAUGGUGUCCCAGGAGAUCAUUCCCUGGCAAAUGACAGUUCUCUGGCACCCACAGCAUGGUGUUCAAGUGACACGGGAGAGCCGUCAGCCAAAACAUGCAUCGGAAUAACGAACCACCCUAUACAGCAAUGGAAGAAGCUCAAAUGCUACAAUAAUCGUUUGAAUGGAGGCCAGAUAAGUUGAUGAUGGUGGAUACACAACCAAGCUACUUUGAGUCCAUGUUUACACAGGUCAAAGAUGUGCAUCUUCUUUAUGGCUAAGUGAUAUCAUUUAAUGCAGUCACAUGCUGCGUUAUCUGAAUGAUAUAUUAAGUACUUCAGAUAAAACAUUUGAAAACACUGCUCAUUUUAGUCUGCAGUUCCAUAUUUAACUGCAAACCUGCAUAAAAUUAUAAAAGCAGCAAAGGAAGGUAACUCAGUCAGAAGAAGGUUGAUUCAGACUCCUCCUACCUUGUUGGAAGGCUUCAUAGCUACUGAAAUGACAGGAUCAGGGAUGUGGAUUGAUUCCUGCAAUGGCCAUAAAGGAAGAGAUCACACAACUGAGUUCCACUACACUUGCUGAUGUCAUUUCUCCAGAACAGUUUGGUCACAAGAACCCAGGCUUACAAACAGGGUAUGACUGUUUUACUUAUCUACCCUGUAUCUAGUAUCAUAGUGUAACAAAACUAUGUAACUCUCCCAAGGAUUACUACAAGGCUGUAACAUAAUGCAUGCUGUACUGGCAGCCACAGUAUUUGCAACACCAUUUCCUAAAUGUACUGGAUUUCACACUGGUGAGAAGUCUGCUUCC